RNAcentral lists this unclassified non-coding RNA (250 nucleotides) under rhizosphere metagenome. Its description in RNAcentral is "partial ribosomal RNA internal transcribed spacer region". The record is from RNAcentral.
GUAGGUGAACCUGCGGAAGGAUCAUUAUUGAAUAUAUUGAAGGGUUGCCGCUGGCCUCUUGGGGCAUAUAUGUGCACACCUGGAUUCAUUUCAUCUUAUACACUUGUGCACUUAAUGUAGGGAACUCUUGAUUGAGUCUCUCUAUGUCUUUCUAUAUACCCUUUCAAAAGUUUUAGAAUGUCUCAUAUCGUUUGCUGUAAAAUGGCAGACAUGAAAAAUAUAACUUUCAACAACGGAUCUCUUGGUUCUC